GAUGAAGAACGCAGCGAAAUGCGAUACUUGGUGUGAAUUGCAGAAUCCCGUGAACCAUCGAGUCUUUGAACGCAAGUUGCGCCCGAAGCCAUUAGGCCGAGGGCACGCCUGCCUGGGCGCCACACGUCGUUGCCCCCCCAUCUACUCCUUCGGGAUUGAGGGGGGCGGAUGAUGGCCUCCCGUGCGCCUCGUCGCGCGGUUGGCAUAAAUGCCAAGUCCUCGGCGACGCACGCCACGACAAUCGGUGGUUGCGAAACCUCGGUUGCCCGUCGUGUGCGGUCGUCGCGCAUCGAGGGCUCGAAAAAAUUGCCGGGCUCCGGCUCGGCUUUCAACGCGACCCCAGGUCAGGCGGGGUUACCCGCUGAAUUUAAGCAUAUCAAUAAGCGGAGGA
This 391-nucleotide unclassified non-coding RNA is filed under the name soil metagenome. Its description in RNAcentral is "partial contains 5.8S ribosomal RNA, internal transcribed spacer 2, and large subunit ribosomal RNA". The stretch from base 1 to 122 matches the Rfam family "5.8S ribosomal RNA", at positions 35 to 154 of the family's 154-position model. The record is from RNAcentral.